GGCGUGGUAGCCAAGUGGUAAGGCAUGGGUCUGCAAAACCCUUACACGCGGGUUCGAUUCCCGCCCACGCCUUCA
This 75-nucleotide transfer RNA is filed under the name Deltaproteobacteria bacterium RIFCSPLOWO2_02_FULL_44_10. RNAcentral describes it as "tRNA-Cys". It matches the Rfam family "tRNA". From Rfam's summary of the family: Transfer RNA (tRNA) molecules are approximately 80 nucleotides in length. Their secondary structure includes four short double-helical elements and three loops (D, anti-codon, and T loops). Lineage: Bacteria; Deltaproteobacteria. The record is from RNAcentral.